AGCAGGAGCCGUCGGCCCUCUACCCAGGUGGCUCGGGACACCCCGGGGGAGGCACAGGGCCCCUCCGUUAGGGGCGAUUUGUGCGAUGGUCGGUUUGGCUUUUUGCACAUCCCCCUAAGCAACGCUUGAGGGUUUGGCCAGCUGGGGGGGAGCCCAACAUCUGCCCACGUUCACUCUCUACUUGUAGUAAAAGGAAGGCUUCCACACCUGUGGCUCGAUCCCCGCGUUCCUGGUGGAGUAGGAGGGUCGAGGAGCCUGGAAGCCAGCCUUGGCUCGAGGGGAGCGCCCGUGGCACGGCGAUGCCAGCAGCAGCUCUGCACCAUCACCUCCGGCACCGUUGUGGCUGGGCUGCGGCUUUGGCUUCGGCUUCAACAUGGGGGACUUGAGGCAGGAGGACCACGCUGGGGCAUCGUCGGGCACCGGGAGGGGCUGUGCAGCCCUGGAUGCGCUGGCAGGAACAAAGUUGGCAGCUUCGGCCCCUAAAGCAAAGGGCUCAUCCUCAGCACCAGCAUCCCCGUGCUCCUUCUGCUUCUUCCUGAUGUCUGCACUCUGCACCAAAUCCAGCAGGUCGGGGUUGGGGCCCAACUUGGGCUUCUCAACAAAGGUGAACAUGGAUUUCUUGUGGCCCCUACGUGCCGCCGACUCCUCCAGGAUGCCUGUUUUGGGCAAGGGGACCACUGCUGCCAGCCCAUAGCUGGGGCCUGGCAGUGCCUUCUGCUCCCCAGGGGGGUACAGGGCCGAGUAGGUGGGGGGUGAGCGGACCCUGCUGAGUGGGGGUGGGCUGCCCAGUGUCUCUGCAUAGGUGGGUGGUGGGGGCUCAGCACUGGGGACUGGCUCCAUGGGCUGGCUCAGCCCGGGGGGUGUCUGGGUGCCGAAUGGCCGCGCUGUGCGGUUCUUCACUGGUUUGGGUUUGGCCAGGGUGAGGUGGACCUCAUAGUACUGCCUGCUCUGAGCCCCGCUCUGUGCCUGCGUGGCUGGGGGAGCUGCCCCUGGGGGUGUGCUGGCCGUCACUGUGGGUGUGUUGGAUGUCGCUAUGGGUGCACUGGAUGUCACCAUGGGAGGACUUGCCAUCCCCAUGGCUGCAUUGGCCAUCCCCAUUGGUAUGUUGGCUGCCACUAUGGGUGUGCUGGCUGUCCCCAUUGGCACACUGGUUGUCACUAUAUGUGUGCUGGCCGUCCCUACAGGCAUGCUGGCUGUCCCAGUGGGGGUACUGGCUGUCACCAUGGGUGUGCUGGCUGUCCCUGUGGUUAUGUUGGCUGACACCAUGGGUGCACUGGCUGUCACUGUGGUUAUGUUGGGUGCACUGGCUGUCCCCAUGGCUGUGUUGGCCAUUGCCACACCAGUAGGUGCACUGGCUGUCACCAGGGGUGCACUGGCUGUCACCACAGGUGUAUUAGCCAUCCCUAUGGGCGUGCUAGCUCUCCUCACGGUCAUGUUGGCUGUCACUGUGGGCACGGUGGCUGUCCCCAUGGGUACACUGUCUGUCCCUAGAGGUGUGCCAGCUGUCCCCAUGGCCAUGCUGGCUGUCCCUGUAGGCAUGCUGGCUGUCCCUAAGGAUGUGCUGGCUGUCCCCAUGGGUGCACUGGCUGUCACUGUGGGCACACUGGGCACCUCACCAUUCUUCUGCUUAGGAAUGCACACGUUCUCUGGUGGGGCAGGAGUGGCCACUCUUGUCCCCAAGCUGUCCUGCGUCCCUUGGACCCCUCCCACUUCGCUCUCCACAUUCUCCUUGUGCACACCAUUGGCAGCAGCCAGUGCCAUGUUCUCCUUCAGGUAGAUACUCAAUGGGACUUGCUGAGCCUCAGCAGGGGACUCUCGCAGAGACGCCACAUUCUCUUGCUCCCCCAUCGUUCCCCGGCUGCUGUGCCCCUCGCCCGUCUCCAUGUCACCUCCCUGUGUCCCCAGGCUCAUUGGCAGCCCUGUGCCAUGCCCUGUGCCAGUCCCAGUGAGCCCGUCGACGCGCUGCCUGCGGCGGUGGAAGAGCAGCACGCCCUUGGAGCUGGGGCUGGGUGCCGUGGUGAGCUGUGCCACGAUCCUGCGGCUCCGCGCCUUCGCCUCUUUCAGCUCCUUCUCAGAGAGGCUGGAGCUGCGGGAGAGACCUGGGUGAGAAGAGAGGAGAGGAGCAGGGGGUUAGCAGGGCUCGGCCCUCCUUAAAGUGCCCCCAGCACCCCGAGCCCAAGGAUGCCUCCUCUCCAGCCCAGCCUUGUUGCAUCCGGGUGUGCAUCUGAGUAACCCCUGAGGCCCAGAAGACAGUCACCUUGGGGCAGAUAUGACCAUUCCUCCCACCCAGCAGGGCUGAGGGGAGCGUCCCUGCAUCUCACAACCCAGGACAGUUUAUCUCCCCAGGCUCUGCGCGCUGAUCCCAGUGACCGUAUGGGAAAGGAAUUUCUCAAAAGGCUUCAGGAGGUUUCAGGUUGCGGCUCAAAGGAUUUUCAGCCCCUGGCUCAAACACACGUGGGGACCUGUGUGUAUGAACCCGGCACGUAUGUGAGCAGCAACACGAGAUGGCAGCAGCCGACAGGAGCUGGGCAGGAUCCCGACCCGACACUCAGCCCGCAGCAACGCGCCAACCCCAUUCCUUCACAGCCUAUAAAAGCACUAAAAGCGGCCGGCUGUGCGUCUGCUAACUGCUCUGAAAGCCCUCCGAGCACCGCUGGGCUCCUCCAGCUCUGGCCAAAAGGUCAGGGCCAAAGCUUUUCCCAAACACCGAAAGGAUGUGGAGCUGCCGGGAACACAUUUUCUUGGGGUGAGCCAUUUCCUAUGAGCGUGCACUGAAACACCCAUGGCCACUGGGAAGGGCAGUGCCACCAAACAGCCCCCAGCGCCUUUCCUCACUAUGGGGUCCAUGCUCCAUGCCCAGGAACGCUGCCAUGAGGGCCCCAUCCACACCCGGACGGAGGUGGGUGGCCGAUCCCAGCUCCUCCGGGCGCAGGCAGGGUCCACUCCCCUUCCCUUCAUGUGUUUUUCAUUUUCUUGCCUUCUGUGCUGCUUGGGAUCCUUCCAGGAUAUUUUAAGCGUUGGUUCAGCCUACCAGCGAAGGAAGGGAUGAAUGACUAAGCCAAAUCAUUCCAGAGAGCUCGUGGUGGGGCGAGAAAGCUGCUGCGAGCUGGGCAUCCCCUCCCCAUCACCAUCCAUCCCAUCCGUUCCAUCCCCUGUAGUCACAUCUGUAGGAUGUUUGCAGCCAUCUGAACUGCUCAUCCCUCAGCCAGCACAGAGGAACCGACCGGAGAGGAGGAGGAGAACAGACAGACCAAGCUUUAGGGCAGCCCAGCAGUGGGAUUUAGCUGUGCCAAGAGGAGAAAAAGGCCGAAAUACCAUUGCAAACCC
Long non-coding RNA from Coturnix japonica (Japanese quail), 3327 nucleotides. RefSeq lists it as uncharacterized. The record is from RefSeq and is a predicted model, not a curated record. Lineage: Eukaryota; Metazoa; Chordata; Aves; Galliformes; Phasianidae.